CUCUUGAGCUAAAUAGGUUUUACCAAUAAUUCCACCGUCAUGUAUACGGGCGGAUGGGUUACCGGGUUUUCCUUGGAAUUGGUGAUGGACUCGGGUUUUCCGUUUGAUCCGUAGAGGCCCGAUUCCCAACUGAUCGUUCAUCUCCCAUUCAAAUAGCUCACUGACUCUGUCCCCAAUCGCAGGAUGAAACUCCUGGCAUCGUCUCUGAUGAUGAGCCACUAAAUGUUCCGGAGGAGAGGUUCCUUCUUUUGCCAUUAACUUUUGCCGAUUUACAUCCUAGUUCCAGUCAGGAUCCUGCAACUCAUCAACUGAAGGCAGUGCCUCGAGUGGAAAGAAAAAGACGCUUACUGAAAGCAGUGCCUCGAGUUGAGAGAAAAAGA
Long non-coding RNA from Helianthus annuus (common sunflower), 380 nucleotides. RefSeq lists it as uncharacterized. Lineage: Eukaryota; Viridiplantae; Streptophyta; Magnoliopsida; Asterales; Asteraceae. The record is from RefSeq and is a predicted model, not a curated record. The transcript has 3 exons.